UACGUAGGGGGCUAGCGUUGUCCGGAAUCAUUGGGCGUAAAGCGCGUGUAGGCGGUCCGGUAAGUCCGCUGUGAAAGUCGGGGGCUCAACCCUGGAAAGCGGGUGGAUACUGCCGGGCUAGAAUCCGGAAGAGGCGAGUGGAAUUCCCGGUGUAGCGGUGAAAUGCGCAGAUAUCGGGAGGAACACCAAUGGCGAAGGCAGCUCGCUGGGACGGUACUGACGCUGAGGCGCGAAAGCGUGGGGAGCAAACAGG
This 253-nucleotide ribosomal RNA is filed under the name uncultured bacterium. Its description in RNAcentral is "partial 16S ribosomal RNA". It matches the Rfam family "Bacterial small subunit ribosomal RNA", at positions 524 to 776 of the family's 1533-position model. The record is from RNAcentral.